CCUACGGGAGGCAGCAGUGAGGAAUAUUGGUCAAUGGACGAGAGUCUGAACCAGCCAAGUAGCGUGAAGGAUGACUGCCCUAUGGGUUGUAAACUUCUUUUAUAUGGGAAUAAAAUGUUCCACGUGUGGGUUUUUGUAUGUACCCUAUGAAUAAGGAUCGGCUAACUCCGUGCCAGCAGCCGCGGUAAUACGGAGGAUCCGAGCGUUAUCCGGAUUUAUUGGGUUUAAAGGGUGCGUAGGUGGUUUGUUAAGUCAGGUGUGAAAGUUUGCGGCUCAACCGUAAAAUUGCAGUUGAAACUGGAAGUCUGGAGUGCAGUAGAGGUAGGCGGAAUGCGUGGUGUAGCGGUGAAAUGCUUAGAUAUCACGAAGAACUCCGAUUGCGAAGGCAGCUCACUGGACUGCAACUGACACUGAGGCUCGAAAGUGUGGGUAUCAAACAGGAUUAGAUACCCGUGUAGUC
Molecule: ribosomal RNA, 460 nt
Filed under: uncultured bacterium
Lineage: Bacteria
Description: partial 16S ribosomal RNA
Rfam family: Bacterial small subunit ribosomal RNA
Source: RNAcentral